Molecule: transfer RNA, 74 nt
Filed under: Cavernulicola chilensis
Lineage: Eukaryota; Rhodophyta; Bangiophyceae; Cavernulicolales; Cavernulicolaceae
Description: tRNA-Arg
Rfam family: tRNA
About the family: Transfer RNA (tRNA) molecules are approximately 80 nucleotides in length.
Source: RNAcentral
GCGCUUUUAGCUCAACUGGAUAGAGCAGUAGCCUUCUAAGCUGCAUUAUGUGGGUUCAAGUCCUGCAAAGCGCA